AGUGAACGCUGGCGGUAGGCCUAACACAUGCAAGUCGAACGGCAGCACAGUAAGAGCUUGCUCUUACGGGUGGCGAGUGGCGGACGGGUGAGGAAUACAUCGGAAUCUACUUUUUCGUGGGGGAUAACGUAGGGAAACUUACGCUAAUGCCGCAUACGACCUACGGGUGAAAGCAGUGGAUCUUCUGACCUUGCGCGAUUGAAUGAGCCGAUGUCGGAUUAGCUAGUUGGCGGGGUAAAGGCCCACCAAGGCGACGAUCCGUAGCUGGUCUGAGAGGAUGAUCAGCCACACUGGAACUGAGACACGGUCCAGACUCCUACGGGAGGCAGCAGUGGGGAAUAUUGGACAAAGGGCGCAAGCCUGAUCCAGCCAUACCGCGUGGGUGAAGAAGGCCUUCGGGUUGUAAAGCCCUUUUGUUGGGAAAGAAAAGCAGCAGGUUAAUACCCCGCUGUUCUGACGGUACCCAAAGAAUAAGCACCGGCUAAGUUCGUG
This 492-nucleotide ribosomal RNA is filed under the name uncultured bacterium. RNAcentral's name for it is "partial 16S ribosomal RNA". It matches the Rfam family "Bacterial small subunit ribosomal RNA", at positions 29 to 507 of the family's 1533-position model. The record is from RNAcentral.